UAACAUUUUCAAAACAUAUUAAAAUUAUUACUGUUGGGGCCUAGCUUAUCUCCCUCACCUUGGUAAAGAUGAAAAGGUGGCUUUGAAAGGUCACUCCCUGGAUUUCAUCACAAAGGAAGUGUGACCUCACUAGCCUUUGUUAGCCAUUGCGGUUCACCUAUUAAAUGGGCAGAGCUGGCUGAGUAAACCACAAGCUCUGAAAGGCCCCUCCAAGGCAGGUUGGGCUCCAGCUGCUAGGAGCUCGAAAGAACAAGAACACCAUCUGAAAUGGCUCGAUUCAGACGCAGCAGGAGCCGAAGCCUCAGUCGCCGCCGUCGGAGGCGUAGAGGACGUGGUCAUGGUGGUGGAAAGAAGAGGCGGGGAAGGCGUCGUGGGAGAGGGAAAGGUAAAGGCCACAAGAAAGGAAGAAGAAGAAGGAGACACCACCACUAAGUUCUCCCACUCUGGCCUCCGGUGUCCUUGAUUUCAAGUCAUCCAAAUCAACAAAACUUCUGUCAAAAGAAAGCAAAAUGAAACAAAACAACUCCUUCCACUGAAACAUGCAGGAAGAAUUCUCAAAAAUCAGGGAGCCUGGAACAAGUCUGAACCUUGCCACCUGUCAAUAAAUGCUGACAUUUCA
Anolis carolinensis (green anole) is the source of this 619-nucleotide long non-coding RNA. RefSeq lists it as uncharacterized. The transcript is spliced from 2 exons. The record is from RefSeq and is a predicted model, not a curated record. Lineage: Eukaryota; Metazoa; Chordata; Lepidosauria; Squamata; Anolidae.